UCUCUCUCCCUCUCUCUCGGCCGAAUAACCCCACCACUGCCGUUCACCCACCAGCACCCUCACGCCACCAUCCUUGAGCCCCGUAGAUCGCCGUGUGCCGCUCACCGCCGUUUGCCGCUUGCCGUGUCAAGCUGAGGCCACCACGGACAACUCGUGUCAUUGCCGUCGUCCUCGCGUUGUCAUCGUUUUUAGACGAGCCCUUAGCAUGUUGAUGCACCCAGUAUGGUUCGGGGUGCCUGGAAGCUGACUUUUGGUGAAGUAGAUUAACCCUAGCCUGAUAUCUUUUUGUAGACUUUUAUGGAAAUGCCCGAAGUGGGCUUGUAAAAAUGUUCCCAGGGGUUAAUCAAGUGAAUGUUAAAAUGGUGUUUUGAUUUCGAUGUUGUAAACCGUUUUUCUAUCUAUCCUUGUUUAUUGUUAUUG
This is a long non-coding RNA of Syzygium oleosum, 420 nucleotides long. RefSeq lists it as uncharacterized. The transcript is spliced from 2 exons. The record is from RefSeq and is a predicted model, not a curated record. Lineage: Eukaryota; Viridiplantae; Streptophyta; Magnoliopsida; Myrtales; Myrtaceae.